GGGGGGUUCCUGUUCCACCUCCACCAACCUCAAAACGCGGGUGGAAGGGCAGUUUUGGGGGUGCAGGUGCCCCCCCUUGACUCCUCAAGCCCUCCCUCCCUCAGCUCCUGGCCUCGGCCAGUUACGACGACACGGUGAAGCUGUACCGGGAGGAGGAGGACGACUGGGUGUGCUGUGCCACGCUGGAGGGCCACCAGUCCACCGUCUGGAGCGUGGCCUUCGACCGCAGCGGCCAGCGCUUGGCUUCCUGCAGCGACGACAAGACGGUCCGCAUCUGGCAGCAGUACAAGCCGGGCAACGAGGAAGGUGAGGGCUCCUAGCCCCCUUCUUCUCUCCCUUGCCACAGGGCCGCUCGGAACCUGCCGGAGGGAAAAGAGCGGGCAGCGGGAAAAGCGGGCAAGUAGCCCUAACGAUUCUCUUGCCCGCCCAGGGGUGGCCUGCAGCGGCAAUGAUCCCACCUGGAAGUGUGUCUGCAACCUCUCUGGCUACCACACCAGGACCAUCUACGACGUGGCGUGGUGCCACCUCACCGGGGCGCUGGCCACCGCCUGCGGCGACGACGCCAUCCGGGUCUUCGAGGAGAGCACGGUGGCUUCCUCCUCCUCCUCCUCUUCCUCGCAUCCGCAGCAGCCCACCUUCAGCCUGGCUGCCCACGUCCCCCGGGCGCACUCGCAGGACGUCAACUGCGUGGCCUGGAACCCCAAGGAGCCGGGUUUGUUGGCCUCCUGCAGCGACGACGGGGAGAUCGCCUUCUGGAGGUACCAGCGCCCCGAAGUCUGCUGAGAACUUCCAGCUCCUCCAGAAUCCUCCCUUCUCCACCAGCCGGGGCCUUCGGAAUCCUCCCUUCUCCUCCAGCCCCUCCGGAAUCCUCACUUCUCCACCAGCCGGGGCCUUCGGUGCGGAGAAGGGGGCAGGGACGAUGGUGACCCACCUCUUCUGCCCCACGAGGUGGGACUUUGGGACGCCCAGGACCCAUCCCUGGGGAUCUGGGUGA
RNAcentral lists this long non-coding RNA (994 nucleotides) under Calidris pygmaea (Spoon-billed sandpiper). Its description in RNAcentral is "lncRNA (ENSCPGG00000014016.1)". The record is from RNAcentral. Lineage: Eukaryota; Metazoa; Chordata; Aves; Charadriiformes; Scolopacidae.